GAAAUUCAUGAGCGCUAACUUGAGCUGGCAGAAAGAAUUUCUGCGACGUCAGAUCCACAAGAAGAACAUAUAAGUGUACCUGGCCUGUAGCUUUCUGACAGUUUCCUCAUCCUGCCUGGCCUGUCUUUCCUCCUCCAGUGCAUCCUCUAAGCGGUGGUACAUAUUCUCCAGCUCACGCACGCGCUGCAGAUAUCCUGCAGCUCGUUCUGUGUCUGCAGACGUCUGCGUUCCUCUUCUGCUGCGUUGGCUGCGGCCUCCUCCAGUUUCUGUGCAACAAAGACACAUCACAUUAAAUAUUUAUUGCAUGUUGUUCAACUCGUUGUUCAACUUGUCUGAAAACGUGAGCCACUGUGAAUGAACUUCUCUCAUAGCCCUAUCAUAUGCCUUCUGAAGACAUAGAUGAUACAUGAGUCUUACAGACUACUUUUAUGAUACUUUUGGGUCAUUUUUAAAGCUUUAAAGUGAGCCACUACAUUGCCAUUGUAUUAAAUAGAGGGACAGUGAUAUUCAUUAAAGCAUCUCCUGUGUUCUGCAUAAGAAAAAAAGUCAUAUGUGUUUGAAACAACAUGAGUGAGUAAAAGUAGUCAGAAUAUUAAUUUUUUGGAUAAACUAUCCACUGUUUUCCAGAGCAACCAAUGGGCGGCACCAUGAUGAUUCUAAUUGCCUGUUUUUUGUUUCUGGUCUCCAGACGCGAUAUAAAAACUACCAAAACGAGCGCUCCAGAUGGAGAACGACAAACAUUCAAGGUUUUUUUUUUUAGGAGAAAAAUUUAUUUUCAGGCUCAACUUGUGCUGUCAUAACAACUCAAAGUAGUUAAUGAUAUCAAUGUUACUAAGCUCAGACAUCACACUUCAUGACAUCUACACACUCAGGUGAGGUACUGUCAAUAAAAACAGUUAUCUCGACACUGAAGUAUCGGCACUAUACUUUGUCAACUUUUACAAAUGUAAUACCAUAAACAUCAUAUGAUAUGCUAAGAAUACAUAGCGAUGCGAGUCCACUGCAACCGGAAAUAGAAAACAGUCGAAUCGUGGAACACUUCCACGUUCAUGAAAAAGCUGGUUUCCUUUUAACUUUUCUUAAUUGCAAAGAAAACUUGAAAUGGUAAUAAUGUAAUGGCAUAUCAUUUUUAACCAGAUUUAGAAUUAUGAAAGUAUGUUAUAUUUUUUAAAUACCACAUUGAAGAUAACUGUGCCCAAAUGUGGGCAUUUAUUGUCAGUUCCAAAACCAGCCGACAGCCUUGUCAAUUGAUUAUGCACAUUUUCUGUUUUGAAAAUGUAACUGCAUUUUCAAAAUCAUGAGUGUUCAUUUAAAUUCAGCAAUUUUGUGAACAUCUUAUUUGCUAUGAUUAAAUUCUUAUAUAUGUAUCAGCCCAACCUGCUCUCUAGACAUCAGAAUCAGCCAUUGAAAAACCCAAUAUUGGUCAACCAAAAGAAGUUAAACCAGUUUUCCUCAUUGAAUCAUAAAACCACAAAACAGAUUUUAUAUUGCAAUUAUGGGCAGUACCAUCUCGAUUAGGGACAGUGAAAGUGUAACAAACCCACACCUUUUCAACAAACUUUUCAACAAACAGGGCCUCUUAGCAAACCCAUCUCCAAAAAAUCAACAACACUACAAAGCCACGACACAGACACAAAAUGAACAUCCACCACUAUUGUAACGCUUUACUAUUGUAAAGAAAAAAAAGGAUUUAAUUGCCCAAACAGCCCAAAGUUGAAAAAAAAAAAAAAUCAGUACAAUUUCAAUUUUACAGCUGUUAACAAAUGAAUCAUAUCCUCUGUUAACACAGCUGACCACAUUCUCACCCCUAAAUCACUUCUAUUUAGCUGUGGUCAGAUGAUCACCCCAAUAAAUAACGGGUCAGCAUUGCAGGUCAGUGUGAGAUCCCAGGUGGUCGAGCUGAGUGACAGGGCAGAUAUUGUUUCAAUAUAAACUCCUCAGGUUUUGGAACAACCCUCACUAGCUCUCUCCUCAGGCACCCAUUGUCCUUCUCUUUAUUGGAGGACAGGGGGAGAGGCACUGUCCCAUCAAUAGUGGACUGUUCUCCAUACAGACAACAACUCACAUACAACUGGAAUGGACAAUGAACAUUUGUUAUUGUAUAAAAUGGCUGUUCCCAGUUAACACUGUUUGUACUGUUUCAGACUAGUGUUCUAUCAGUUUAAUGAUAUAUUUUGUUGUGUGUAUGUAGUGUUUAUCAGAUGCUAGGGUUUAAACCUUGGAAAAAGUAUAUAUUUUAAUGCAUCUGAGCUUCUGUGCUGUUUAUAGCUGUAAUUAUGUUGCUGAAUCUUUUAAACCUCAUGUGUAAAAAAACAUGAAUGUCAAUUAAUUUUCACAUACUAAGAAUUUCUGAUUGGUGUACACAUUUUAAAAGUACACUCCUGCCAGUUGUUAAUUUAACUUCAUUUGUUAAGGUGUAUAUUUAUACAGUGUGCUUUGCUGGGGCCAAAUUGACCCCAAACAGAAGCAAUAUUACUGUUCUAGAUAACAAUCACAUUUCUAAAGGAGUAAUGCCUACUUUGUGGUAAAAAAAAGAGGCUUUAAACUAUGAUAGCAUAUCGCUACUUAUGCUUUUAUUAGGCCAGACAAACAUUUAAAAAACAAUUUGAAGUGAAAAUAAGAUGCCUUACUUUUUAAAACAUUCACAAAGUGAAUUUCAACAGAGCAUGAGGGUUUAAGACAGCUAGUCAUCAAAUAAUGUCUUUCAGUUAUUAUUUAAUAUUUGUACUUAAAUUAUGUAUUUUGGGAUUGCUUAAAUGAAUAUUCCAUGUUCAAUGCAAGUUAAGCUCAGUCGACAGCAUGUGUGGCAUAAUGUUGAUCACCACAAAAAUGUAUUUCAACUCAUCCCUCCUUUUCUUAAAAAACAAAAACAAAUCUGUGAGACUCUUAAAAUGGAAGUGAAUAGGAAAUAUUUUUAGGGUUUAAAGGCAGAAAUGUGACGAAUAUUCCUUUAAAUUAUUUGUCUACAUCUAGUAAUUAAUGUCCAUUGACUCUAUACUACACAACAUUUGAGUGCAUUUUCUUGAAAUUAAAAGCUUGUCUUGUUUGGUUAGCCAUUGUGCUAAAGUUGUAACAUGGUUACAAGAUUUAAAUCCACUUACUGCUAACAAAACUCAUUGGGGAUAAGUCUGGCUAAACCCCGAUUUAACAAUAUUAAAUCAUUCAACCGGAAAAGACAAGCAGGAUAACGAGAAAUUAGAAGAAAGAAGGAUAAGAAGGGUUAAAUGUGAAACCACCAUUCCUCUAAACACCCAACCCCCCCAACACUCACACACUUACCUCUCUGCCCAUUCCACAUCUCUCUAUUGAGUGUGAAACCAUACACAAAAGCUAAUCGGGCCUUCACUAUCAGUAUUGGCCACAUAGCAUGAAGCAACUUUUGUAGAAAGGUUUCUGUAGAGGUCAUGAAUAGGGAGGGCGGUACUUGAAAGCAAAGCUUAGGGUUUCAGUCAAAUUAAAAUUCUUGAAUAGCCAAGAGAGAUGACAAAGAACCACCAUUCAGGGUUCCUGGGGAAACAUUGUCACAUGAAUGGUAAGUGUGGCAACAGACAGUUCCUGUUUCACUUAUCAGGAUGUUAAAAUGCAAAGCACAGAGGGAUAUGUUUAUAGGGUUGUUGACAUUAUUUUCACUAUACACAGAUUUUAAUUUGAGUUUUUUCACAACCAAAAGUCUGCUUUAGCAGUCAAAACCCCCUGUAUUGUUUAUACAAUACAAGCAAAGUUGUGAAACAUCAGUAUAAGAGUUUAAGUCACAAGGUACCAGUCAAAAGUUUAAACACUUUUUCCAUUCUUCUAUUUGUGUUAUUUCAUAGUUUUGAUAACUUUACUAUUAUUCUAAAAUGAAAAAAACGAAUUGGCCCGGUUUCUAGGGAGGGUAGAGUCACAUGGGUAACCUCCUCUUGGUCACGAUUAGUGGUUCUUGCUCUCAACGGAGCGCGUGGUAAAUUGUGCGUGGAUCGCGGAGAAUAGCAUGAGCCUCCACAUGCUCUGAGUCUCUACGUGUCAUGCACAGUGAGCCACGUGAUAAGAUUGACUCUCUCAGAAGCGGAGGCAACAGACUUGUCCUCCGCCACCAGGAUUGAGGUGAGUACCGGUAACUGCGCCAACUUGAGGACCUACUAAGUAGUGGGAAUUUGGAAUUCCAAAUUGGGGAGAAAAUUGGAUAAAAAUAAUAAAUAAAACAUAAAAAGAAAGUUAAAGGGCAGAGAAAAAGCAUGGACAUGUUUAUUCAAGUUGAUAGAAAAACAGUGAGUGUAGAAGGUCAGGUGUU
Xyrauchen texanus (razorback sucker) is the source of this 4270-nucleotide long non-coding RNA. RefSeq lists it as uncharacterized. NCBI's taxonomy places the organism in Eukaryota, Metazoa, Chordata, Actinopteri, Cypriniformes, Catostomidae. The record is from RefSeq and is a predicted model, not a curated record. The transcript is spliced from 3 exons.